GACAGAGGUGCCGAGCGUUAGGCGGAAUCACUGGGCUUAAAGCGUGUGUAGGCGGGCGGGCAAGUACCUUGUGAAAUCCCACGGCUCAACCGUGGAACGGCUGGGUAUACUGCCUGUCUUGAGCCAACUAGGGGCGAGCGGAACAGACGGUGGAGCGGUGAAAUGCGUAGAUAUCGUCUGGAACGCCAAUGGUGAAAACAGGUCGCUGGGGAUGAGCUGACGCUGAGACACGAAAGCCAGGGGAGCAAACGGG
RNAcentral lists this ribosomal RNA (253 nucleotides) under uncultured bacterium. RNAcentral describes it as "partial 16S ribosomal RNA". It matches the Rfam family "Bacterial small subunit ribosomal RNA", at positions 524 to 776 of the family's 1533-position model. The record is from RNAcentral.